This 454-nucleotide ribosomal RNA is filed under the name uncultured organism. RNAcentral's name for it is "partial 16S ribosomal RNA". It matches the Rfam family "Bacterial small subunit ribosomal RNA", at positions 329 to 799 of the family's 1533-position model. The record is from RNAcentral.
ACGUACACUCCUGCGGGAGGCAGCAGUGGGGAAUAUUGGACAAUGGGCGCAAGCCUGAUCCAGCCAUGCCGCGUGAGUGAUGAAGGCCCUAGGGUUGUAAAGCUCUUUCACCGGAGAAGAUAAUGACGGUAUCCGGAGAAGAAGCCCCGGCUAACUUCGUGCCAGCAGCCGCGGUAAUACGAAGGGGGCUAGCGUUGUUCGGAAUUACUGGGCGUAAAGCGCACGUAGGCGGAUCGAUCAGUCAGGGGUGAAAUCCCAGGGCUCAACCCUGGAACUGCCUUUGAUACUGUCGAUCUGGAGUAUGGAAGAGGUGAGUGGAAUUCCGAGUGUAGAGGUGAAAUUCGUAGAUAUUCGGAGGAACACCAGUGGCGAAGGCGGCUCACUGGUCCAUUACUGACGCUGAGGUGCGAAAGCGUGGGGAGCAAACAGGAUUAGAUAUCCCAGUAGUCCCAUG